AAACUGCGAAUGGCUCAUUAAAUCAGUUAUAGUUUAUUUGAUUGUGAACGUUAAAUGGAUACCUUUAAUAAUUUUAGAGCUAAUACAUGCGAAAAGGGGUUUUUCAACUCUUUACUUAUUAGAUACAAAACCAACGAUGUUGAAAAACAUGAAAAGGUGAUUCAUGAUAAGUUUUGGAAUCGAGGGAUACCUUGAUGAAUCAUACAAGUUUCUGCCCUAUCAACUUUGGAUGGUAAGGUAUUGGCUUACCAUGGUUGCAACGGGUAACGGGGAAUUAGGGUUCGAUUCCGGAGAGGGAGCCUGAGAAACGGCUACCACUUCUACGGAGGGCAGCAGGCGCGCAAAUUACCCAAUCCUGACAUAGGGAGGUAGUGACGAAUAAUAACGGUGUUUGACACUAUUGUCGAAACAACUGGAAUGAAUUUAGUUUAGAAAAGUAGAUGAAACCCAUUGGAGGGCAAGUCUGGUGCCAGCAGCCGCGGUAAUUCCAGCUCCAAUAGCGUAUAUUAAAGUUGUUGCAGUUAAAAAGCUCGUAGUUGAAUUUGUUGGUGGAUAUAUAAACUAUUUUUGAUUACCGUGAGAAAAUUAGAGUGCUCAAAGCAGGUUUUUAUGCUUGACUAAUUCAGCAUGGAAUAAUGGAAUAGGGUCGUGAUCUUAUUUUAUUGGUUUUUUUGAUCAAGAUGAUGGUUGAUAGGAACAGUUGGGGACGUUGAUACUGUCUUGUCAGAGGUGAAAUUCUUGGAUUAAGACAAGGUGAACUUUUGCGAAAGCAUUCGUCAAGGAUGUUUUCAUUAAUCAAGAACGAAAGUUGAGGGAUCGAAGACGAUCAGAUACCGUCGUAGUCUUGACUGUAAACGAUGCCGACUAGGGAUUGGUGAAAUGUUAUAAAAUCUCAUCUGGACCUUUUAGAAAUUAAAAGUUUUUGGGUUCUGGGGAGAGUAUGGUCGCAAGGCAGAAAUUUAAAGGAAUUGACGGAAGGGCACAACCAGGAGUGGAGCCUGCGGCUUAAUUUGACUCAACACGGGAAAACUUACCAGGUCCGGACAUGAUAAGGAUUGACAGAUUAAAGUUCUUUCAUGAUUUUAUGGGUAGUGGUGCAUGGCCGUUCUUAGUUGGUGGAGUGAUUUGUCUGGUUAAUUCCGAUAACGAACGAGACCUUUUCUUUAUGUUGAAAUGAAUCAUUAAAAAAUGAUUUUUUUGGAUUAAAGGACUGUUUGUGAUUUUUAAACAAAUGGAAGUUUUAGGCAAUAACAGGUCUGUGAUGCCCUUAGACGUUCUGGGCCGCACGCGCGCUACACUGACCAAAACAAAAAAAAAGUAUUUUUGAAAAGAAAUUUGAAACAAGAAAUUUGGUCGUGAUGGGGAUAGAUUAUUGUAAUUUUUAAUCUUGAACGAGGAAUUCCUAGUAAGCACAAGUCCUUAACUUGUGUUGAUUACGUCCCUGCCCUUUGUACACACCGCCCGUCACUACUACCGAUUGAAUGAUUUAUUGAGAUUGUUGGAUUUUUUUAAAAAGAAAAAACA
This 1524-nucleotide ribosomal RNA is filed under the name Caullerya mesnili. RNAcentral's name for it is "SSU rRNA". It matches the Rfam family "Eukaryotic small subunit ribosomal RNA". Lineage: Eukaryota; Ichthyosporea; Ichthyophonida. The record is from RNAcentral.